Molecule: long non-coding RNA, 2046 nt
Organism: Cucurbita maxima (winter squash)
Lineage: Eukaryota; Viridiplantae; Streptophyta; Magnoliopsida; Cucurbitales; Cucurbitaceae
Exons: 4
Source: RefSeq, a predicted model, not a curated record
UUGCCUCCAACCCCAAUACUCUCAAAUCAAAAUAAUAAUUUUCAAACAAAGAAAAUAAACUUUCUAUAUUCUUUUUAACAUUUAUAGUAGAAAACCAUUUUCAAGAUUGGUGAGCCAAAAAGAUAUUUUAAAUAAAAAAUAAAUUAAAUUACAUAAAUUGAAAUUUGAACUUCCCCUUUUCAAUCUCAUUUCCUUUGUUUUUGGUUCCAAUGGAAUCAGAGAUAAAUCCGUUUGAAUCGGGUCGGAAUUCAUAACAGACUCUGUAAGAUGAUGAGAGGCAUUACCCAAAUGUGGAUAUGGGCAGCCGAAAUCUGUAAAUUUAAAACCAUCUAUUUAGUGUUUAUACAAAAAAUGGUAAUUUCGCUUUGGAGAUGCCUUCCACUGUGCUGAUUCUUCUCCCCAUUGGAGUGGCCAACCCUUCUGCAACUUUCUCCAGGAAAACUUUCACCUUAUUUGGCAACUUGGAUUUCAAAAUGAAAUCAACAAGGAUCGUCUCAAAAGGAGCAUGAUUAGGGGAGAUGGCUCUGAGUUAACCAGCUAACUGAAAACAGCCCAUUUUGGUGGAGACCUCAAACUGUAGUUGAUAAAGGGAGAGAAAGUGGGAAUGUUAAAACUCUAGUUUUUGAAGUUUCUUGUAAAAAAUAGUUAUAAGCCAAGAGCUCUAGAAAGGAACUGAAACAAUAGUCAAUAAAUUUGUUUAAUUCAUUCUCCAUCCUGAUUCUUGGGUAUUCUUCUAAAUCCUGAAACACUAUUUCAUCCUUGCUAAUUGCUCUGCAUCAUUCUUGAUGGUAACAAACUGUCUACUUCGUUGAUAUAUUUAGAGAAAUCUCCCCUGCCCCCCACUCGGAUUUCAAUAUAGUCAUCUUUCAGCAUAUUUUGUUAUUACAAUGGAGUUCGAUUGUGGUUAUCUGGCUGGUUCUUUGGAUUCUAAGUGUAUUGACAGUUGAUAGCAUCGUUGUUUAGUUUCUUGUUUAUUCUGUGCAAGUUGUUUGAUGUUAUGGAUUUUAUUUAAUUUGGAGAAUCUGUGAUCGAAUGCUUAAUCUUACUUUUGGAUCCUUUUUCAUCAAGCUGCAAUGUAUUCCUCAUUUCCUUCAUGUAAUCGAAUAUAGCUGGACAGUAUGGUAUACUAACCCGUUCAUUAUAUUUAACUUGAAUGGUGUUGUUCUUGUUCUUCCAAUGAAAGUCAUUUUCAAGUUGUUUAUGUGCUUUUGUUCGGUAACAAACAUGUAUCGUGUCAAUUGUUUAUGUAACAGCCUAAGCCCACUGCAAGCAUCUUUGAGCUUUCUCUUUUGGGCUUCCCCUCAAGGUUUUGAAACGCGUUUGCUAGGGAGAGGUUUCUACACCCAUAUAAAAACAUGUUUCGUCACCCCCCUCCCCCUCCCCCCUCGAUACUCAGUGUUCUCGCUGGCAUUUGUUCCCUUCUCCAAUCGAUGUGGGAUCUCCCAAUCCCCCCCUCUUUGGGGACCAGUGUCCUUGUUGGCACACUGUCUCGUGCCCACCCCUUGGGGGCUUAGCCUCCUCGCUGACACAUCCCUCAAUGUCUAGCUCUGAUACUAUUUGUAACAGUCCAAGCCCUUAGCUAGCAAAUAUUAUUCUUGGUGUUUUCCUUUCAGACUUCCUCUCAAUAUUUUUAAAAUGUGUCUGUUACGGAGAGGUUUCCACACUCUUAUAAAGAAUGCUUCGUUUUCCUCUCCAACCAACGUGGGAUCCUAUAGUUUAGGUAUCUCCUGAUAAGAAUGGGUUAGUUGAUUGUGGUUGACCCUUUGGAAGCCAGACUCAUGGCAGCGAAAAGAAAUGGAAAAGACCAAAGCAAAAGAUGAGUUCAAGAGAAGACAUCAAAUGGAAGCGAUUAAUGAAGCAUGGGCAAUGAUCGACCUCACAAAGACAUUCUAGCCAAGUUGCGUGGACAGUGGAGGCUGAAGCAGCAGCAGAUUCAGGUGGUUCUCUUUUGGAAGAAUUUAUUAGCUAUGCAAUCAUAUAUUUUACUAUAAUUUGUUUCAAUCUUGUACAAUAAACUUAAAUGAUUCAUUGUUCCAGCUUUAUACU